UACGUAGGUGGCAAGCGUUGUCCGGAAUUACUGGGCGUAAAGGGCGCGUAGGCGGCAUGGCAAGUCGGGAGUGAGAGGCCUGGGCUCAACCGAGGAACUGCUUUCGAGACUGCCAAGCUAGAGUGCGGAAGGGGCAUCUGGAAUUCCCAGUGUAGCGGUGAAAUGCGUAGAUAUUGGGAAGAACACCUGAGGCGAAGGCGGGAUGCUGGGCCGACACUGACGCUGAGGCGCGAAAGCCAGGGGAGCAAACGGG
RNAcentral lists this ribosomal RNA (253 nucleotides) under uncultured bacterium. RNAcentral's name for it is "partial 16S ribosomal RNA". It matches the Rfam family "Bacterial small subunit ribosomal RNA", at positions 524 to 776 of the family's 1533-position model. The record is from RNAcentral.